UGGGGGAUAUUGCACAAUGGGCGAAAGCCUGAUGCAGCGACGCCGCAUGGGGGAUGAAGGCCUUCGGGUUGUAAACUUCUUUUGCUCUGAACAAGGCGCACCAUGGGGUGUGUUGAGUGUAGGGGUUGAUUAGCGCCGGCUAACUACGUGCCAGCAGCCGCGGUAAUACGUAGGGCGCGAGCGUUGUCCGGAAUUAUUGGGCGUAAAGGGCUUGUAGGUGGCUGGUUGCGUCUGUCGUGAAAGCUCAUGGCUUAACUGUGGGUUUGCGGUGGGUACGGGCUGGCAUGAGUGCAGUAGGGGAGGCUGGAAUUCCUGGUGUAGCGGUGGAAUGCGCAGAUAUCAGGAGGAAUACCGGUGGCGAAGGCGGGUCUCUGGGCUGUUACUGACACUGAGGAGCGAAAGCAUGGGGAGCGAACAGG
This 419-nucleotide ribosomal RNA is filed under the name bacterium. Its description in RNAcentral is "partial 16S ribosomal RNA". It matches the Rfam family "Bacterial small subunit ribosomal RNA", at positions 355 to 776 of the family's 1533-position model. The record is from RNAcentral.